CGUGAACUUCGUUUGUAACGGAAAUCCUUUUGUUUUUUCCUUUAAAAAACAAAAGAUUGAAGUGUAAAGCUGGAAAUAGC
Molecule: small RNA, 80 nt
Filed under: Flavobacterium swingsii
Lineage: Bacteria; Pseudomonadati; Bacteroidota; Flavobacteriia; Flavobacteriales; Flavobacteriaceae
Description: Flavo-1 RNA
Rfam family: Flavo-1 RNA
Source: RNAcentral